Molecule: ribosomal RNA, 564 nt
Filed under: uncultured Pseudomonas sp.
Lineage: Bacteria; Pseudomonadati; Pseudomonadota; Gammaproteobacteria; Pseudomonadales; Pseudomonadaceae
Description: bacterial SSU rRNA
Rfam family: Bacterial small subunit ribosomal RNA
Source: RNAcentral
GGAUGANNCGAGCUCAGCUCCUGGAUUCAGCGGCGGACGGGUGAGUAAUGCCUAGGAAUCUGCCUGGUAGUGGGGGAUAACGUCCGGAAACGGGCGCUAAUACCGCAUACGUCCUGAGGGAGAAAGUGGGGGAUCUUCGGACCUCACGCUAUCAGAUGAGCCUAGGUCGGAUUAGCUAGUUGGUGGGGUAAAGGCCUACCAAGGCGACGAUCCGUAACUGGUCUGAGAGGAUGAUCAGUCACACUGGAACUGAGACACGGUCCAGACUCCUACGGGAGGCAGCAGUGGGGAAUAUUGGACAAUGGGCGAAAGCCUGAUCCAGCCAUGCCGCGUGUGUGAAGAAGGUCUUCGGAUUGUAAAGCACUUUAAGUUGGGAGGAAGGGCAGUAAGUUAAUACCUUGCUGUUUUGACGUUACCAACAGAAUAAGCACCGGCUAACUUCGUGCCAGCAGCCGCGGUAAUACGAAGGGUGCAAGCGUUAAUCGGAAUUACUGGGCGUAAAGCGCGCGUAGGUGGUUCAGCAAGUUGGAUGUGAAAUCCCCGGGCUCAACCUGGGAACUGCAU